CCCCCCCAGCUGGAACCAAGAAGGUUGUGUCCCCCUUCCUCUGGGUGUCCUUGUCUCCUGCUAUCAGGGCUUCCCCUUUCUUGGUCAUCGAUCCCUAGAGCUCUGGCUCUUUCUCUUCUUGGGGUGAGAAACUGCUAAGAACAGUUUAUUUCCCAUGCAUGCAUCUGGGCUUGCCACUGAUCUGCCUUUUCCCCCCUCCUCCCCAGGUUAGGGACACCUGGGUCCAACCUUCCCAAGGAAUAUGGGGAUGGGGGUUGGAGAUGAAGUUUAGUGCUAGACUGUAAGGUAGGUGGGGUGGAAGUACAUGAGGGAAAGGGCUAAAAUGGUACUAAUGGUGUUAAGGAUAGGGUGAAUUAUUUAAGAGGAAAAAGACUAGGCCCAGGUUCUCCUUAGCCAUGUGGCUUUCCCAGGGCAGAGGGUGGCCCCUCCCUACCCAGGGGCCCAGCAGAGACUGACUUUUGAUCCCUACCCCAGAGACCAGUGAACCAUUAACUCCUCUCUUAUGUGAGCCUUCACACACUGGCCCCACCCCUGACCCCGCCCCA
This 545-nucleotide long non-coding RNA is filed under the name Homo sapiens (human). RNAcentral's name for it is "non-protein coding lnc-NABP2-1:1". The record is from RNAcentral. Lineage: Eukaryota; Metazoa; Chordata; Mammalia; Primates; Hominidae.